UUGGUGGUGGAAUCUGUUUCUCUAAUGAUUUUCUAACAAUAUGCAGGCAAACUACUUAUUCCUUCUUUUCGAAUGAUCUGCAAAAAGAUGUGCUCUUUCUAUCUGACGUCAUCAGACGUCGUAGCCUUUAUUCAUGCCGUCACAAUAAGAAAUUUAGAGGAAAGCAAGAAAAUUUGAUGUCAUAAUAGAAUUUUAACAAAUGAAAACUGAGAUCAAAC
RNAcentral lists this long non-coding RNA (218 nucleotides) under Mytilus galloprovincialis (Mediterranean mussel). Lineage: Eukaryota; Metazoa; Mollusca; Bivalvia; Mytilida; Mytilidae. The record is from RNAcentral.